GGAGGUUCGAAGACGAUCAGAUACC
Molecule: non-coding RNA, 25 nt
Filed under: Drosophila melanogaster (fruit fly)
Lineage: Eukaryota; Metazoa; Arthropoda; Insecta; Diptera; Drosophilidae
Also listed under: 3 other names
Source: RNAcentral